UCGUAACAAGGUUUCCGUAGGUGAACCUGCGGAAGGAUCAUUACCGAGUGUAGGGUUCCUAGCGAGCCCAACCUCCCACCCGUGUUUACUGUACCUUAGUUGCUUCGGCGGGCCCGCCAUUCAUGCCGCCGGGGGCUCUCAGCCCCGGGCCCGCGCCCGCCGGAGACACCACGAACUCUGUCUGAUCUAGUGAAGUCUGAGUGAUUGUAUCGCAAUCAGUUAAAACUUUCAACAAUGGAUCUCUUGGUUCCGGCAUCGAUGAAGAACGCAGCGAAAUGCGAUAACUAGUGUGAAUUGCAGAAUUCCGUGAAUCAUCGAGUCUUUGAACGCACAUUGCGCCCCCUGGUAUUCCGGGGGGCAUGCCUGUCCGAGCGUCAUUGCUGCCCAUCAAGCACGGCUUGUGUGUUGGGUCGUCGUCCCCUCUCCGGGGGGGACGGGCCCCAAAGGCAGCGGCGGCACCGCGUCCGAUCCUCGAGCGUAUGGGGCUUUGUCACCCGCUCUGUAGGCCCGGCCGGCGCUUGCCGAACGCAAAUCAAUCUUUUUCCAGGUUGACCUCGGAUCAGGU
RNAcentral lists this ribosomal RNA (565 nucleotides) under Aspergillus flavus. RNAcentral describes it as "eukaryotic LSU rRNA". The stretch from base 224 to 377 matches the Rfam family "5.8S ribosomal RNA". Lineage: Eukaryota; Fungi; Ascomycota; Eurotiomycetes; Eurotiales; Aspergillaceae. The record is from RNAcentral.